This 111-nucleotide ribosomal RNA is filed under the name uncultured bacterium. RNAcentral describes it as "partial 16S ribosomal RNA". It matches the Rfam family "Bacterial small subunit ribosomal RNA", at positions 1373 to 1482 of the family's 1533-position model. The record is from RNAcentral.
CCCGGGCCUUGUACACACCGCCCGUCAAGCCAUGGGAGCUGUUUGUACCCAAAGUCAGUUUGGUUAACCGAAAGGAGACCGCUGCCAAAGGUAUGGAUGGUGACUGGGGUU